Molecule: small nuclear RNA, 107 nt
Filed under: Sus scrofa (pig)
Lineage: Eukaryota; Metazoa; Chordata; Mammalia; Artiodactyla; Suidae
Source: RNAcentral
GUGCGCGCUUCAGCAGAACAUAUACUAAAACUGGAACGACACAGAAAAGAUUAGCAUGGCCCCUGCACAAGGAUGACAUGCAAAUUCAUGAAGCAAUCCAUAUUUUU